CAACUUUCCUUAGCAAGUGGUGUUCUAUUCUUCACGUGAGAUUCCAGACGGUGAUGUUAUUGAAGGAGGCAAGCAUUCGGUGAUGGUGAUUCUCGGAAUAGCACACGCUCAUUUUGAUGAAAGGGAUGGAAUGAAUAAGUGAAGCAUGGAAUUAGUGGAAAUGGUGUGCGUACGCUGGACUGGUCACAGUUUGGUGAUGAUGAAGGAGAACGUUGACAUAUGAAUGAGAUAUUAGGGUGGAUGAUGCAGGGGGCAGAAGCAAAAAUUCGUGUUCUCCUUGGAAGCAUAUAAAGUUGUGUGCUGGCUGG
RNAcentral lists this long non-coding RNA (308 nucleotides) under Vigna radiata. Its description in RNAcentral is "long non-coding RNA (VRAD_LNC013215)". The record is from RNAcentral. Lineage: Eukaryota; Viridiplantae; Streptophyta; Magnoliopsida; Fabales; Fabaceae.